GGGGCUGACCGGUUUUGACAGCAUAGAUCUUUGUAAGUAAGCAUGCCGUGCGUUGUGUUAUUAGCACGUUAAUCUGAAAACUCAAACUUUAAAUGGCGAAACUUCUUACGCCAUGGCUGCCUGAUCAGUGAUCAAGUAGUCAUUAGGGCCGCGGCUGCCGGUUGUUCUGUUACCAUGCGCCGCCGCCGACUCAAAAACAAAACAGGAUGCUGCAACCGGGUGUUGUGACGGUUGCUUAAGACAAGCGCAACUAAGGAAGUGAUCGGUUCGUCCGUCUCCUGUUACUUCCCCACAACCAAUGCCGGAAUAAGCAUGUAGAAGGCUUAUGGGGAAUAUGUUUGGACGUGGGUUCGAAUCCCACCAGCUCCACCA
RNAcentral lists this transfer-messenger RNA (372 nucleotides) under Bacteroidia bacterium. It matches the Rfam family "transfer-messenger RNA". Rfam says of the family: Bacterial tmRNA, also known as 10Sa RNA or SsrA, is named for its dual tRNA and mRNA-like properties. Its role is to liberate the mRNA from a stalled ribosome. The record is from RNAcentral. Lineage: Bacteria; Pseudomonadati; Bacteroidota; Bacteroidia.